Non-coding RNA from Manis javanica (Malayan pangolin), 1991 nucleotides. The record is from RefSeq and is a predicted model, not a curated record. NCBI's taxonomy places the organism in Eukaryota, Metazoa, Chordata, Mammalia, Pholidota, Manidae.
UCCAGGCGUGGUGGCGGCUCUUGGAGGCUUGCUCUCCUGGGAGCAUGUUCUUUUCCCAGAAAGAGAGGUAGAGGGAGACGCGUCUCUGGGUGUGGGGUCCAGAGCCCACCAAGAACGUGCCUGAAGGACGCCUCCAAUGUGUCCAGCCCGAGGUGCUCGGCAGCUGCUCCCCAGUGCCCACUGGCGCCAGAAGGGCACAUGCUGACAUGCAGAGGAGAGCUCAGAGCCCAGGUGGAGUGUUCCGGAGGACCCAGCUUCUAUCACCUGCUGUUUGCAUCUGUUCACAGGUGUGUGGGUUACCUGCUGGAUGGAUGUCGAUGUGUCUGCAAUUCACACUCAAGUCCACCUUUGCUCUAGUGCAGAUUCAAGCAGCAGAUCACCUUGCUGCAGCCCCAGGCAGAGGCUGGUGGUGCCGGGGCAGGGCGAGGACAGGCCAGGACACCAGAACCAUGCAGGCCAGCUCCUGGGGGCUGCGCACCCUCAUCACAGGGUGGUGGAGCCCCGACACAGAGGGUGAAGCCAGAAAGGCAGCCCCUGAUGUGCUCAUGCAGCCCUGACGGCCACAGGCUCCCCACUUGCUGCCUUCCCUCCACUGCCACCCGUCUCCAAAGACCCUCAGAAGACAGGGCAGGGAGUAUGUCUUGUUGCUCAGCAUCUGACAGCUUUUAGGGGAAUAAUCAGGGCCCGUGUGAGCGCGAGGAAGGAUCGAUUCUGCUCUGCCCCACGCCGCGUGUCUUCUUGUCAAGAGCAAAGAUCUACAAUGGUUUUACCUAAGCUGCUGCCUCCUGGACAACCCCCGGAGAUGGCAGCUGUCUGUGUUGUGCUAAAUCUUUAAUGGCUUCUGACUGCAAGGUGCUCUGCAUGAAUCCUCACCAUCCCCUCGCGGGAGAGAAGGCUUGGGGGAGACACCAGGAGAGGUGGUCUGGCAUGAGACGGAAAUCAGGAGCCGUGAGAUCAAGCUGAGCAGACUUUCGCCUACAGUGAACCAUCUGCUUAGAACAACUGGUGCUUCCAGUGACCCACAACCAACAUGCCAGGAUCUCCCUGGCUGUCCCCAGAUCUGGUAACCGGGACUAGGCGGAUGCGCCCCAGCAGAGCAUCCUGACGCCCUUGCUGCCUUCCGGGGCCACAUCAAGUGGCCUGGGAGAAGUUGGCAGAGGCCCCCACAAAAGUUAACAGUGUCAGUGCACCAAGCUGUGAGUACUUCAUUAGGUGAGUUUCUAGCCGGGGUUUCCUCCUGAUUUUGUCCCGUUUUCAUAUUUCUGUCCCAAAGCCCCGAGUUGGAUGGAUACAUGUCAAAGCCAGGUUUUUAGUAUCGAAACUCUUCAGCUGACAUUCAAGUUGCUGCCACUUCUCUUUCCCAAGGCAUAAAGCAGGUGACUGCAGUUGGUCGGCGGGGUGGCAGGGAGGCUGUUGUAGUGGGAAGACAGAGAAGUGGUGGCCCCCAGGAUGCUCUUCCCCAGGGACGCCACCUCCCUCCAGGGAUAGCCUUGACUUGCUGACGGCCACCAACCCCUUCAGACCUUGCUCACACUUCCUGAUUCUCCUCUUUAUCUGUCUUUUCUAGUCUUCCUUGUGGGCGGGGACUGCCUGUGGACAGCUGGGUGUGGUGGGCAUGCAGCAGGUGCCCAGCGCCUGGGGACUGGCAGGAUCCCUGGUGGCGGGUCGCCGUCUGGGGCGCCACAGCAGUGACAUGUUCUCGAGCCGCUGGUGCCUGACACAGCGGGGAGAAUGCCCAGGCGGCUCCUUGUUUUCUCCAUCAUGCACCUCAUUUUCUGGACCUCGGUGUCCCCCGCUGGCGUACAGGCCACCUGUGGGUUCUCCGCCCACUGUUUACUUCAGCAGUUACCGGCAAUCACCUGUGCACAUGUCCUUGCAGCCGCACCGCGAAGCUCCCCUCUGCAGGGGCUUCUCCUCUGCCAGCAGCAAAGGGUACAUGGCACUGCCUAAUGGCACCGGCUUCCCUGGCCCUGGGGGGCCUAGCUGGAGAA